GGCCUAAUUGCAUUGCACAACAACAGAAAUAAUGUCCUGUAGCUAUUUGUACAUAGCUUGGCACUUAUUGUUCAGUAUUUUUUUCUUGGGAUGUUUUAUCUUCAUGUGUGAUAAAAUGAAAUGUAGAUUGACUGCUUUGACUCCCAAUCCUUGAUUGUUGUUGUUGUUGUUGUUCUUGUAAGCUAGAACAUUCAACUUGGUAAAGUAUUUGUUCAAUUUCAAGUCUUACCAAUCCUCUAUGUAGACGGAGUAUUCUUCUAAGCCUUGGUAUCAAACUGCGACAAAACAAUGUUUCCUCAUCAUCUUUCCCAAUUGCAUUGUUGCUGUGAAAUUUAGCAGGGCUAUGCUCAUCUUUACUUUCUUUUAAAUGGUUUCAAUUGGCUUCGCAGCAUUGUAAAACACUUUGUCCAUUUCAAGCGCUUUGUUUGCUUCAUUCCAAGCUCUCUUUCUCUUACUGGCUUUACUUUUGUUGGAUUUAGGUACAAAGUCAGCGUCAGUC
Molecule: non-coding RNA, 499 nt
Organism: Paramuricea clavata
Lineage: Eukaryota; Metazoa; Cnidaria; Anthozoa; Malacalcyonacea; Plexauridae
Source: the annotation of a GenBank genome assembly